CAUUAUUGAAAUAAACCUGAYGGGUUGCUGCUGGCUCUCCAGGGAGCAAUGUGCACACCUUGUCAUCUUUAUAUCUCCACCUGUGCACUUUUUGUAGACCUUUUCAGGUCUAUGUUGCUUCAUUUUACCCCAAUUGUAUGUCAAUAGAAUGUUGUGCCUUUAUAAUAUAUACAACUUUCAGCAACGGAUCUCUUGGCUCUCGCAUCGAUGAAGAACGCAGCGAAAUGCGAUAAGUAAUGUGAAUUGCAGAAUUCAGUGAAUCAUCGAAUCUUUGAACGCACCUUGCGCUCCUUGGUAUUCCGAGGAGCAUGCCUGUUUGAGUGUCAUUAAUAUAAUCUCAACCCCUUCUCUUGUUGAAGGGUUUGGAUGUGGGGGUUUGCUGGCCUUCUCAAAAGGUUCAGCUCCUCUGAAAUGCAUUAGCAGAACAACCUUGCUCAUUGGUGUGAUAACUAUCUACGCUUAUGAAUGUGAAGGGCAGUUCAGCUUUCUAGCCGUCUUUGGACAAUUCAUCAUUAAUGUGACCUCAAAUCAGGUAGGACUACCCGCUGAACUUAAGCAUAUCAAUA
This 566-nucleotide ribosomal RNA is filed under the name Cortinarius sp. LM5406. RNAcentral describes it as "eukaryotic LSU rRNA". The stretch from base 173 to 326 matches the Rfam family "5.8S ribosomal RNA". Lineage: Eukaryota; Fungi; Basidiomycota; Agaricomycetes; Agaricales; Cortinariaceae. The record is from RNAcentral.